RNAcentral lists this ribosomal RNA (260 nucleotides) under uncultured prokaryote. RNAcentral's name for it is "partial 16S ribosomal RNA". It matches the Rfam family "Bacterial small subunit ribosomal RNA", at positions 524 to 782 of the family's 1533-position model. The record is from RNAcentral.
UACGUAGGGUGCGAGCGUUGUCCGGAAUUACUGGGCGUAAAGAGCUCGUAGGUGGUUUGUCACGUAGUCUGUGAAAUUCCGGGGCUUAACCUCGGGCGUGCAGGCGAUACGGGCAAUACUUGAGUGCUGUAGGGGAGACUGGAAUUCCUGGUGUAGCGGUGAAAUGCGCAGAUAUCAGGAGGAACACCAAUGGCGAAGGCAGGUCUCUGGGCAGUUACUGACGCUGAGGAGCGAAAGCAUGGGUAGCGAACAGGAUUAGA